UCGGUAUCUGUUCUGCCCAUUGUUCCAGAUCUGGGUAUAAAUACUGGGAGACGCUCUCCCCCUGGACACACUAGCCAUUUGUUUGCAGAACAAUUCAAACCUCUCUCAUCACCAGUUUCAAAAUGUCUCGACUUUUCGCCCUUCUCGUCCUCGUCGCAGUGAUUGCUGUAGCAUCAUCGCAGUACAUCUACUCCAGCGUUGGUGUCCCUGCUUAUCGGUACGGAUACGCGUCCUAUGGGGCUUAUCCAGCAACAGCCUACUACCCAGGACUUACCUACCUCAAAAAGUGAACAUCCUGAUAACUUGCUCAAAUCUGUCAAAUCUGUUAAAUUGCAAUGAUUGGCAUGAUGUAGAAAAAAAUGAAAUACAAAUUGGCAAAAUUUUAGUCGAAAUGCA
Folsomia candida is the source of this 396-nucleotide long non-coding RNA. RefSeq lists it as uncharacterized. NCBI's taxonomy places the organism in Eukaryota, Metazoa, Arthropoda, Collembola, Entomobryomorpha, Isotomidae. The record is from RefSeq and is a predicted model, not a curated record. The transcript has 2 exons.